RNAcentral lists this ribosomal RNA (253 nucleotides) under uncultured bacterium. RNAcentral's name for it is "partial 16S ribosomal RNA". It matches the Rfam family "Bacterial small subunit ribosomal RNA", at positions 524 to 776 of the family's 1533-position model. The record is from RNAcentral.
UACGUAGGGGGCAAGCGUUGUCCGGAAUCAUUGGGCGUAAAGCGCGCGUAGGCGGCCCGGUAAGUCCGCUGUAAAAGUCCAGGGCUCAACCCUGGAAAGCCGGUGGAUACUGUCGGGCUAGAGUCCGGAAGAGGCGAGUGGAAUUCCUGGUGUAGCGGUGGAAUGCGCAGAUAUCAGGAGGAACACCGAUGGCGAAGGCAGCUCGCUGGGACGGUACUGACGCUGAGAAGCGAAAGCAUGGGGAGCGAACAGG